AUUGACGUUACCCGCAGAAGAAGCACCGGCUAACUCCGUGCCAGCAGCCGCGGUAAUACGGAGGGUGCAAGCGUUAAUCGGAAUUACUGGGCGUAAAGCGCACGCAGGCGGUCUGUCAAGUCGGAUGUGAAAUCCCCGGGCUCAACCUGGGAACUGCAUUCGAAACUGGCAGGCUUGAGUCUUGUAGAGGGGGGUAGAAUUCC
This 203-nucleotide ribosomal RNA is filed under the name Salmonella enterica subsp. enterica serovar Kentucky. RNAcentral describes it as "partial 16S ribosomal RNA". It matches the Rfam family "Bacterial small subunit ribosomal RNA", at positions 468 to 670 of the family's 1533-position model. The record is from RNAcentral. Lineage: Bacteria; Pseudomonadati; Pseudomonadota; Gammaproteobacteria; Enterobacterales; Enterobacteriaceae.